GGAACGGGUUGGGACGGAUCGGAACCGUAGCGUGCGCACUUGAAAACCGCUGGAGCCGCAAGGCUCCCGUGGGUUCGAAUCCCACCCCCUCCG
Molecule: transfer RNA, 93 nt
Filed under: Chloroflexota bacterium
Lineage: Bacteria; Bacillati; Chloroflexota
Description: tRNA-OTHER
Source: RNAcentral